UGUUUCGGCAAGGGGGUCAUCCCGACUUACCAACCCGAUGCAAACUGCGAAUACCGGAGAAUGUUAUCACGGGAGACACACGGCGGGUGCUAACGUCCGUCGUGAAGAGGGAAACAACCCAGACCGCCAGCUAAGGUCCCAAAGUCAUGGUUAAGUGGGAAACGAUGUGGGAAGGCCCAGACAGCCAGGAUGUUGGCUUAGAAGCAGCCAUCAUUUAAAGAAAGCGUAAUAGCUCACUGGUCGAGUCGGCCUGCGCGGAAGAUGUAACGGGGCUAAACCAUGCACCGAAGCUGCGGCAGCGACGCUGAUGCGUUGUUGGGUAGGGGAGC
RNAcentral lists this ribosomal RNA (329 nucleotides) under Escherichia coli. Its description in RNAcentral is "partial 23S ribosomal RNA". It matches the Rfam family "Bacterial large subunit ribosomal RNA", at positions 911 to 1237 of the family's 2925-position model. The record is from RNAcentral. Lineage: Bacteria; Pseudomonadati; Pseudomonadota; Gammaproteobacteria; Enterobacterales; Enterobacteriaceae.